CACACACACACCAAGCACAGGUACACACACACACACACACCAAGCACAGGUACACACACACACACACCAAGCACAGGUACACACACACACACACACAAGCACAGGUACACACACACACACACACCAAGCACAGGUACACACACACACACACACCAAGCACAGGUACACACACACACACACCAAGCACAGGUACACACACACACACACCAAGCACAGGUACACACACACACACACCAAGCACAGGUACACACACACACACACACCAAGCACAGGUACACACACACACACACACCAAGCACAGGUACACACACACACACACACCAAGCACAGGUACACACACACACACACACCAAGCACAGGUACACACACACACACACA
Molecule: long non-coding RNA, 378 nt
Organism: Oncorhynchus keta (chum salmon)
Lineage: Eukaryota; Metazoa; Chordata; Actinopteri; Salmoniformes; Salmonidae
Exons: 3
Source: RefSeq, a predicted model, not a curated record